This 1332-nucleotide ribosomal RNA is filed under the name metagenome. RNAcentral describes it as "bacterial LSU rRNA". It matches the Rfam family "Bacterial large subunit ribosomal RNA", at positions 1576 to 2925 of the family's 2925-position model. The record is from RNAcentral.
CCAAAAAGUAGCGAAGCACACAGACCAUCUGUCGAGAAAAGCCGCUAUUGUGUAUACCGUACCCGUACCGUAAACCGACACAGGUGGAUGAGGAGAGAAUCCUAAGGCCGGCGGGAGAAGCAUUGUUAAGGAACUCGGCAAAAUGACCCCGUAACUUCGGGAGAAGGGGUGCUCGCGCAAGUGAGCCGCAGAGAACUGGCCCAAGCAACUGUUUAGCAAAAACACAGGUCUAUGCAAAACCGAAAGGUGAGGUAUAUGGGCUGACGCCUGCCCGGUGCUGGAAGGUUAAGAGGAGAUGUUAGAGCAAUCGAAGCAUUGAAUUUAAGCCCCAGUAAACGGCGGCCGUAACAAUAACGGUCCUAAGGUAGCGAAAUUCCUUGUCGGGUAAGUUCCGACCCGCACGAAAGGCGUAAUGAUUUGGGCACUGUCUCGACAAUGCACCCGGUGAAAUUGAAAUACCAGUGAAGAUGCUGGUUACCUGCGCCAGGACGGAAAGACCCCAUGGAGCUUUACUCUAGCUUGAUACUGGGAUUCGGUAUUGCAUGUACAGGAUAGGUGGGAGACUAAGAGGUGAUGACGCCAGUUGUCACGGAGUCGAUGUUGGGAUACCACCCCUGCAGUACUGGGUUUCUAACCUGCGGCCGUGACCCGGCCGGGGGACAAUGUCUGGUGGGGAGUUUGACUGGGGCGGUCGCCUCCGAAAGGGUAUCGGAGGCGCUCAAAGGUUCCCUCAGAAUGGUUGGAAACCAUUCGAAGAGUGCAAAGGCAGAAGGGAGCUUGACUGCGACACCGACGGGUGGAGCAGGUACGAAAGUAGGACUUAGUGAUCCGGUGGUAUGAAAGUGGGAUUGCCAUCGCUCAACGGAUAAAAGCUACCCUGGGAUAACAGGCUUAUCACUCCCAAGAGUUCACAUCGACGGAGUGGUUUGGCACCUCGAUGUCGGCUCAUCGCAUCCUGGGGCUGUAGUAGGUCCCAAGGGUUGGGCUGUUCGCCCAUUAAAGCGGUACGCGAGCUGGGUUCAGAACGUCGUGAGACAGUUCGGUCCCUAUCCGGCGUGGGCGUAGGAUAUCUGAGAGGAGCUGUCCUUAGUACGAGAGGACCGGGAUGGACUGACCUCUGGUGCAUCGGUUGAGCCACCAGGCUCAUGGCCGAGUAGCCAAGUCGGGACGGGAUAAACGCUGAAGGCAUCUAAGCGUGAAGCCCCCCUCAAGAUGAGAUAUCCCAUAGAGUAAUCUAGUAAGACCCCUUGAAGACGACGAGGUAGAUAGGCAGAAGGUGGAAGUGUGGUGACAUAUGGAGCUGAUCUGUACUAAUAGGUCGAGGGCUUAACU